This 253-nucleotide ribosomal RNA is filed under the name uncultured bacterium. RNAcentral describes it as "partial 16S ribosomal RNA". It matches the Rfam family "Bacterial small subunit ribosomal RNA", at positions 524 to 776 of the family's 1533-position model. The record is from RNAcentral.
UACAGAGACUGCAAGCGUUAUUCGGAUUCACUGGGCGUAAAGAGUGCGCAGGUGGCCAAGUGUGUUAGGCGUGAAAGCCCGGGGCUUAACCCCGGAAUUGCACCUAAAACUACUUGGCUAGAGCAUUGGAGAGGGGAGCAGAAUUCAUGGUGUAGCAGUGAAAUGCGUAGAUAUCAUGAGGAAUACCAGAGGCGAAGGCGGCUCCCUGGACAAUUGCUGACACUCAGGCACGAAAGCGUGGGGAGCAAAAGGG